AGUCUAUAAAAGGAAAUCGGUCGCGUUAAGUGAAACAAAAAAGGAAAUCAGGAACCAAGAAGUGUAGCUGUCGGCCCUGUUGGGCUGCAUAUGUUAACAGCCCAAAUUCAAAUUCACAACAGGGCCGCAUAUGUUAACAGCCCAAAUUCGAAUUCACCAAGCCCAGCAAUUGAGGUAGCAGUUAGGUUACAAGUUCCAGAAGCUUCUCGAUAGCAUAAACCCUAGAUCCCCAAAUCUCUCUUAAUUCCACCGAAGAACACACGCGCAUGUCGGCCGCCUUAUCAAUUCAGACAGCUCUCUGCUCGUUGCCCUCUCUAUAGAUAUCUGGGAGUUUGAGCUCAGUUCUCGUGUCCUCAAUCGUGUUUUCGUUUUCUUUUUCACUCCAGUUGGUUCUCAUGUAAUUAUUUGCAUAACCGAUUUAUUCAUGGGAGCUUGGUCAUUUCCGCGAGCUGUGGCUUUCAGAUUUGAUGGCCAUGGCGAUUCCUUCGUCCAAUCGCUCCCAGAUUGAUUUGGGGCUCUAAUAGCCGCGGCCCGAGUAAACGAUGGGCUUGCGGUUACGCACCCUCGCACAUCCAUUUUUUUGUUUUCAGUGUUAUUUGGGAUUUGGU
This 608-nucleotide long non-coding RNA is filed under the name Setaria viridis. RNAcentral's name for it is "long non-coding RNA (SVIR_LNC010174)". Lineage: Eukaryota; Viridiplantae; Streptophyta; Magnoliopsida; Poales; Poaceae. The record is from RNAcentral.